CCUACGGGAGGCAGCAGUAGGGAAUAUUGCUCAAUGGGGGAAACCCUGAAGCAGCAACGCCGCGUGGAGGAUGAAGGUAUUCGGAUUGUAAACUCCUUUUGUUAGAGAAGAUAAUGACGGUAUCUAACGAAUAAGCACCGUCUAACUCCGUGCCAGCAGCCGCGGUAAUACGGAGGGUGCAAGCGUUACGCGGAAUCACUGGGCGUAAAGAGCGCGUAGGCGGGAUAGCAAGUCAGAUGGGAAAUCCUAGGGCUUAACCAUAGAACUGCAGUUGAAACUGUUAGUCUAGAGUAGGGGAGAGGUAGGUGGAAUUCUUGGUGUAGGGGUAAAAUGCGUAGAGAUCAAGAGGAAUACUGAUUGCGAAGGCGACAUGCUAGAUCAAAACUGACGCUGAUGCGCGAAAGCGUGGGGAGCGAACAGGAUUAGAUACCCUUGUAGUC
RNAcentral lists this ribosomal RNA (440 nucleotides) under uncultured bacterium. RNAcentral describes it as "partial 16S ribosomal RNA". It matches the Rfam family "Bacterial small subunit ribosomal RNA", at positions 338 to 795 of the family's 1533-position model. The record is from RNAcentral.